UCAACACCAGGUAACUGACCAGGCUCCUUCCCCCAGUACUCAACACCAGGUAACUGACCAGGCUCCUUCCCCCAGUACUCAACACCAGGUAACUGACCAGGCUCCUUCUCCCAGUACUCAACACCAGGCUCCUUCCCCCAGUACUCAACACCAGGCUCCUUCCCCCAGUACUCAACACCAGGCUCCUUCCCCCAGUACUCAACACCAGGUAACUGACCAGGCUCCUUCUCCUAGUACUCAACACCAGGUAACUGACCAGGCUCCUUCUCCCAGUACUCAACACCAGGUAACUGACCAGGCUCCUUCCCCCAGUACUCAACACCAGGUAACUGACCAGGCUCCAUCUCCCAGUACUCAACACCAGGUAACUGACCAGGCUCCUUCUCCCAGUACUCAACACCAGGCUCCUUCUCCCGGUACUCAACACCAGGCUCCGUCUCCCAGUACUCAACA
This 453-nucleotide long non-coding RNA is filed under the name Oncorhynchus kisutch (coho salmon). RNAcentral describes it as "lncRNA (ENSOKIG00005028043.1)". Lineage: Eukaryota; Metazoa; Chordata; Actinopteri; Salmoniformes; Salmonidae. The record is from RNAcentral.